Molecule: ribosomal RNA, 712 nt
Filed under: bacterium enrichment culture
Lineage: Bacteria
Description: bacterial SSU rRNA
Rfam family: Bacterial small subunit ribosomal RNA
Source: RNAcentral
AGCGGCGGACGGGUGAGUAACACGUGGGUAACCUGCCUCAAAGUGGGGGAUAGCCUUCCGAAAGGAAGAUUAAUACCGCAUAACAUAAGAGAAUCGCAUGAUUUUCUUAUCAAAGAUUUAUUGCUUUGAGAUGGACCCGCGGCGCAUUAGCUAGUUGGUAAGGUAACGGCUUACCAAGGCAACGAUGCGUAGCCGACCUGAGAGGGUGAUCGGCCACAUUGGAACUGAGACACGGUCCAGACUCCUACGGGAGGCAGCAGUGGGGAAUAUUGCGCAAUGGGGGAAACCCUGACGCAGCAACGCCGCGUGGGUGAUGAAGGUCUUCGGAUUGUAAAGCCCUGUUUUCUGGGACGAUAAUGACGGUACCAGAGGAGGAAGCCACGGCUAACUACGUGCCAGCAGCCGCGGUAAUACGUAGGUGGCGAGCGUUGUCCGGAUUUACUGGGCGUAAAGGGUGCGUAGGCGGAUGUUUAAGUGGGAUGUGAAAUCCCCGGGCUUAACCUGGGGGCUGCAUUCCAAACUGGAUAUCUAGAGUGCAGGAGAGGAAAGCGGAAUUCCUAGUGUAGCGGUGAAAUGCGUAGAGAUUAGGAAGAACACCAGUGGCGAAGGCGGCUUUCUGGACUGUAACUGACGCUGAGGCACGAAAGCGUGGGUAGCAAACAGGAUUAGAUACCCUGGUAGUCCACGCCGUAAACGAUGGAUACUAGGUGUA